RNAcentral lists this ribosomal RNA (442 nucleotides) under Meristogenys whiteheadi (Whitehead's Borneo frog). RNAcentral describes it as "partial 12S rRNA". It matches the Rfam family "Bacterial small subunit ribosomal RNA", at positions 794 to 1449 of the family's 1533-position model. Lineage: Eukaryota; Metazoa; Chordata; Amphibia; Anura; Ranidae. The record is from RNAcentral.
GCCUAGUCGUAAACAAUUUAUUUACAUGUCCAAACGCCCGGGUAUUACGAGCAAUGCUUAAAACCCAAAGGACUUGACGGUGUUCCACCCACCUAGAGGAGCCUGUUCUAUAAUCGAUAAUCCCCGCUUUACCUAACCAUUCUUAGCCUAAUCAGUCUGUAUACCUCCGUCGAAAGCUUACCAUAUGAACGUCUAUAGUAAGCCCAAUGGCCACCCCCAGCACGUCAGGUCAAGGUGCAACUUAUAGAAUGGAAAGUAAUGGGCUACAAUUUCUAGAAUAGAAUAAACGAAAGGCUGCCUGAAACCCCAGUCAUGAAGGAGGAUCUAGCAGUAAAAAGAGAAUAGAGAGCUCUUUUUAAUUAGGCACUGGAACGCGUACACACCGCCCGUCACCCUCUUCAAUAGUUCUUCGUCUCGUUUACUAACAAAUUAACCACGGCUU